This is a long non-coding RNA of Magallana angulata, 1700 nucleotides long. RefSeq lists it as uncharacterized. The transcript is spliced from 9 exons. The record is from RefSeq and is a predicted model, not a curated record. NCBI's taxonomy places the organism in Eukaryota, Metazoa, Mollusca, Bivalvia, Ostreida, Ostreidae.
GAAAUAUGGACACGCCCACGGAGUCGGCAAACAGAAAUGUGUGUUUACUAACUUUAGGUGACAUUACGGAUGGACAGCUUGAGAAUAUAAGUAAAGAACAUUGUUAUAGCAGAGGUCUAAAACGUAAAUACUUGGAACUACAUGAUGAUGUAGAUGGUCAACAAGAACAUAAUCAGUCUUUGUCACCAGCAGAUGAUUGCUUUGAUGACAACUAUGAUGUAUGUCAAUCAGAGAUUGAAAGCGAAAAAGAUGAGGAUGAGGAAGAAGAGGAGGGGGCUCUUGGAGGUCGCAGGAUUGCAGAGUUGAGUGUUUUGGCUGCAAAAUUAAAUGAAGGCUGCAGUAAUUGCUCUACAGAGCUAAAACUUUCAUCCUGCGUUGGAGAAAUCAGAUAUGGCCCAGGCAGCCUCCUCAAAAUUCAUUGCAAUAAUUGCAAUGAAAUUAAUAAUGUACCUACUGGCAAGAGACAUGGUCAAAUUACAUUGGAUAUUAAUACAAAAUUGGGUGCAGCUGUGGUAUUUUGUGGACUUUGAGAAAUGACCGUUAACAAUUUCCUUGCUGCUUUGAAUAUUCUCACUGUAACUUCUGUAACUUAUAAGAGACAAGAGAGGAGGUUGGCAGUAUUUUUGAAGCUGUUGCAAAUGAGACUUGUAACGAAGCCGUUGCCGAGGAGAAAAAAAGAUCACAAGAUGCCGAAAAUUUUUCCGUGUCCUUUGAUGCUGGAUGGCAGACCAGAGGUAGCUGUCGAAACUAUGCAAGUUUGUCAGGGCAUGCGAGUAUGAUUGGAGAGAAGACAGGAAAAAUUCUUUCAUAUGCUGUUCGGUGCAAGAAAUGCAGAUUCUGUGAUAAAGCACCAGUAUCAGCAGAAGUGAAUAAACAUGAUUGUAGAAGAAAUUGGGAAAAAUCCUCAAAGGCAAUGGAACCAGAUAUGGCUUUAGAAAUGUUGCAUGACUAAAAAGCGCGUGACUUCCAUGUAAAACAUCUUAUAAUGGAUAAUGACUCAACAACCUUAGCCAAGGCAAAAAUGUCUUUUGAUCCAAAUAUUCAAAUAAUUUCGGAUUUUAAUCAUACAAAUAAAAAUCUGGCAAGUAAACUCUAUGACAUCAAGAAGGAGAAAAAGUAUCCUCUUCUAGGUCCAAAAUCCAUUCAACAUUUACUAAAAUGUUUUUCAUAUGCUGUGAAAUCCAACGAAGACGCAGACACUUUAAAGAGAAAUUUAGACUCUAUUCCUCUCCAUGUAUUUGGAAACCACAAGAAAUGUGAAAAAAAGUGGUGUAAAUAUCUAAAGGACCCAGACAAUUAUAAACCCAUAAAUUUACCAUAUGGAAAAUAUCUUUCUGGAGUGGAUUUACUCUAAGAUUUACAGCAUCUGUUCAGUGAUUUAGCUAAAAGUGCAAGUAAACUUUCCAAUAUUGCAAGCACUCAGGCAAAUGAAAACUUCAACAUAAUAGUGGCCUGCAAAAAUCCCAAAGCAUUAUAUUACAGUGGAUAUGAAAGCACAUCCUUUAGAGUAGCAGCUGCUGUUGCACAUAAGAAUAUUAGACAUCUGACAAUUGGAAAGGUUUACGAUACUUUGAUGCUCUCGCCAGGGAUGCACACAAAUGUACAUGAAAUGAGGGUUUCUCGAAAGAGAGAAAAAGAAAAAUUGCGACAAAGCACUGUUGAGUGCAAGAGACGAAGACAUGAACUAAAGAAAUUGUAAU